GGACCCACCUGAUUUCCAUGCCGAACUCAGAAGUGAAACGAAAUAGCGCCGAUGGUAGUGUGGGGCUUCCCCAUGUGAGAGUAGGACAUCGCCAGGC
RNAcentral lists this ribosomal RNA (97 nucleotides) under Vibrio alginolyticus. The record is from RNAcentral. RNAcentral also lists the same sequence under 1 other name. Lineage: Bacteria; Pseudomonadati; Pseudomonadota; Gammaproteobacteria; Vibrionales; Vibrionaceae.